Molecule: ribosomal RNA, 694 nt
Filed under: Flavobacterium sp. A5
Lineage: Bacteria; Pseudomonadati; Bacteroidota; Flavobacteriia; Flavobacteriales; Flavobacteriaceae
Description: bacterial SSU rRNA
Rfam family: Bacterial small subunit ribosomal RNA
Source: RNAcentral
UCGGAGCUAGAGACCGGCGCACGGGUGCGUAACGCGUAUGCAAUCUACCUUUUACAGAGGGAUAGCCCAGAGAAAUUUGGAUUAAUACCUCAUAGUAUGUGAGAAUCGCAUGGUUUUCACAUUAAAGUCACAACGGUAAAAGAUGAGCAUGCGUCCCAUUAGCUUGUUGGUAAGGUAACGGCUUACCAAGGCAACGAUGGGUAGGGGUCCUGAGAGGGAGAUCCCCCACACUGGUACUGAGACACGGACCAGACUCCUACGGGAGGCAGCAGUGAGGAAUAUUGGACAAUGGGCGCAAGCCUGAUCCAGCCAUGCCGCGUGCAGGAUGACGGUCCUAUGGAUUGUAAACUGCUUUUGUACAGGAAGAAACACUCCCUCGUGAGGGAGCUUGACGGUACUGUAAGAAUAAGGAUCGGCUAACUCCGUGCCAGCAGCCGCGGUAAUACGGAGGAUCCAAGCGUUAUCCGGAAUCAUUGGGUUUAAAGGGUCCGUAGGCGGUUUAAUAAGUCAGUGGUGAAAGCCCAUCGCUCAACGGUGGAACGGCCAUUGAUACUGUUAAACUUGAAUUAUUAGGAAGUAACUAGAAUAUGUAGUGUAGCGGUGAAAUGCUUAGAGAUUACAUGGAAUACCAAUUGCGAAGGCAGGUUACUACUAAUGGAUUGACGCUGAUGGACGAAAGCGUGGGUAGCGAACA